RNAcentral lists this small nucleolar RNA (371 nucleotides) under Trichophyton rubrum BMU01672. Its description in RNAcentral is "HACA-box snoRNA". The record is from RNAcentral. Lineage: Eukaryota; Fungi; Ascomycota; Eurotiomycetes; Onygenales; Arthrodermataceae.
AGCUGGGUUGGUUGCGUAGGUGCAAGGAUAGAGUGCUCGCCGUGGAGAGGAAUUGUGGCGACUGUUUCCUGUUCUAGGGUCUCGCGGGUAUCGGAGACAGGCUCAUGAUCAAUAUUCAAAGCCCUGCGGGCUGCGGCCAUAUUUCGUAUAGGGGUGUCGGGAAUGCGGUCCUCCAUGCUCGCUAAUUACCUCAGUGUCAAGAGGCUAGUGCAGCGUGCUGUAGACUACUGCCAUAAUGCUCUGAGCAUUCUGUAUUUGAUCGUUGAGGGAAGGGCCAAAGAGGCAGACGGGCGCAAGUAUGCUUCACACAGAGCAAGUAUCGGAAAUGAAAAAGGUAGCAACAGAUUUAUUUCGUUGCAAAGCAUGGACUA